GCAUUUUUCGGUCAAAAUGUUUGCCAUGUCUACUUUGAUGUUUCGUGCCUAAAUGAUUGAUAGCUUAAUUGGCUGUUUCUAAAGUUAGUGGCAAAUGACUUCUUGGUUGAUAUCCGAUAUUUCAAAUUUCAAUCUUAGUUGAUUCAUAUUUUUAAUUAAAUUUAUUUCUAAAUAAAAUAAAUAAAGCAUGCUAUUUAUCUCAAAAAAAAAAAAAUGAUUGAUAGCUUAGCUCCACCACCCACAUC
This 245-nucleotide long non-coding RNA is filed under the name Ananas comosus (pineapple). RNAcentral's name for it is "long non-coding RNA (ACOM_LNC008287)". The record is from RNAcentral. Lineage: Eukaryota; Viridiplantae; Streptophyta; Magnoliopsida; Poales; Bromeliaceae.